CCGUGCGCUAGCUACCAUGCAGUCGAGCGGAGAAAGGACAUGCUCCUGAUGCGCGGACGAGGGUAACUAUGCUACGAUCUGCUGCGAUGGGGGAGGCGUUUCAAAAGGAAUGCUAUACCGCAACGUAUUACGGGAAGGAUGGGACGUCUUGCCUUGCGCUAUCGGAUGAGCCUAGGUCGAAUUAGUAAUUGGUGAGGUAAGGGCUCACGGAGCAACGAUCCCUAUCUGGUCGGAGACGAUGACACUCCACUGGAACUGAGACACGGUCAAGACUCCUACGGGAGGCAGCGGUGGGGAAUAUUGUGACAAUGGGCGAGAGCCUGAUCCUGCCGUGCCGCGUGUGUGAGGAAGGUCAUCGGAUUGUAGGGCACUUUAAAUUGGGAGGAAGGGUUGUACAUGCCUACUCUGCCGUUUUGACGUUAGCGGCUAACUAAGCACCGGCUUACUCUGUGUCAGCAGCCGCGGUGAUGAUAAGGGUGCAGGGGUUGAUCUCAAUUACUGGGCGUGAGGCGCUGCGUAUGUGGUUUGUUAAUUUGGAUGUGAGAUCACGGGGCUCGACCUGGGAAUGUGCAUCGGAAACUGGCAAGCUAUAGUAAGGUAGAGGGUGGUGGAAGUUCCUGUGUAGGUGUAGAUAUGNAUACAUAUGUGAAGGAGCAUGAGUGGCAAAGGCGACUACAUGGACUGAUACUGACACUGAGGUGGGAAAGCGGGGGGAGCAAACAGGAUUAGAUACCCUGGUAGUCCACCCCGUAAAAGAUGUCAAAUAGCCGUUGGGAGCCUUGAGCUCUUAGUGGGGCAGUUAACGCAUUAAUUUCACCCCCCGGGGAGUNACGGCCGCAAGAUUAAAACUCAAAAGAAUUGACGGGGGCCCCCACACGCGGUGGAGCAUNGUGGUUUAAUUUGAGGCAACGCGAGGAACCCUACCCGGNCCUUGACAUCCAAUGNAACUUUCCGGAGAGGGAUUGGUCCCUUUGGGAACACUGAGACAGGUGUGGCACGGCGGUGUUCAGAUCGUGUCUUGAGAGGUUGGGUUAAUGUCCCCUAACGAGCGCACCCCCUUUCCCUAGUUACCCCCACGUAAUGGUGGGCACUCUAAGGGGACUGCCGGUGACAAACCGGGGGAAGGUGGGGAUGACGUCAAGUCCUCCUGGCCCUUACGGCGUGGGGUACCCCCCUGGUUCAAUGGUCGGUACCAAGGGUCGCCGAGCCGGGAGGUGGGGCUAAUCCCAUAAAACCCAUCCUAGUCCGGAUCGCAGUCUGCAACUCGAUUGCGUGAAGUCGGAAUCGCUAGUAAUCGCGAAUCAGCAAUGUCGCGGUGAAUACGUUCCCGGGCCUUGUACACACCGCCCGUCACACCAUGGGAGUGGGUUGCACCAGAAGUAGUUAGUUUAACGUUCGGGAGGACGCGUACCUAGCGGUUGUCCCCGU
Molecule: ribosomal RNA, 1428 nt
Filed under: Pseudomonas sp.
Lineage: Bacteria; Pseudomonadati; Pseudomonadota; Gammaproteobacteria; Pseudomonadales; Pseudomonadaceae
Description: bacterial SSU rRNA
Rfam family: Bacterial small subunit ribosomal RNA
Source: RNAcentral